This 253-nucleotide ribosomal RNA is filed under the name uncultured bacterium. RNAcentral describes it as "partial 16S ribosomal RNA". It matches the Rfam family "Bacterial small subunit ribosomal RNA", at positions 524 to 776 of the family's 1533-position model. The record is from RNAcentral.
GACAGAGGGUGCAAACGUUGUUCGGAAUUACUGGGCGUAAAGCGAGUGUAGGCGGUCUCCUAAGUCGGGUGUGAAAGCCCCGGGCUCAACCCGGGAAGUGCACUCGAAACUGGGAGGCUAGAGUAUCGGAGAGGUUGGUGGAAUUCUCGGUGUAGAGGUGAAAUUCGUAGAUAUCGAGAGGAACACCGGUGGCGAAGGCGGCCAACUGGACGAAUACUGACGCUGAGGAGCGAAAGCGUGGGGAGCGAACAGG